Molecule: RNA transcript, 1041 nt
Organism: Drosophila albomicans
Lineage: Eukaryota; Metazoa; Arthropoda; Insecta; Diptera; Drosophilidae
Exons: 3
Source: RefSeq, a predicted model, not a curated record
GUUUCUAUUGCCGGUGGUCCAGUAUACAAAGUGUUGAGAGUUAAUAAGGUGACUAAUCAUAAAAUGAGUAGCUAUCCUCCAGUAGAUUUUCAUUUAUCUGUGGAUACCUACGAUGUUGAUCUGGUUGUUGGAAGAGUUAUCAAGAAGUGUAUAGUCGAAAUCCGAAACCAAAUCCAAUUUUAUCCGCCCACGAAGGUCCGUACUUGGAUUUCGAUAGUGUGUAAUGGGAAACCGGAAUAUAGUAUGAACUAUUGAGCAGUCGUCGAAUGAAUUGAACUAUUGAACUAAUAUAUUUUUCCAUUUUGUGGUAUAUACGUUUUAAACUGCAAAAAAGGGUUUGGGUUAUUAUUUUCAAAACUUUACUACAGCCAUUUGUAUUUGCAAGAUUAAUAAUAAAAUUAGAUUCAGAAAAAGUGAAAAAGGUUCAGCGGUACUUGAUAUCUCGUGACAUAAAGCGAAUUAUUAUAUUUUCAGCUUCAUUUCUUAACGAACAAACAAUUCGAUUUGAAAAUUACAAUUUGUUUCGCACCAUUUUAAACAAUUUAUUUACGAUUUAUUUAAUAUGUUUAAUAAUGCAUUCGUAUAUAAAAUAUAGCUAGAAACUACGAAAUUUAUUUUCAACGUAAACUUCAGUCAACAAACAUAAUAAAAUGGUCGCAAUUAAAUUAUUAUUUUUGACCGUUUUCACACUUGUCAACUUGUCAAACGGUGUUAUUCUUGAGGUACCAAAACUACUGAUAGGAGCUCAACGCGAAGCUGCUAUAGCUAGGUUAAAUAAUGGUCUACAGAAGGUAUUUAUUGCAGGUGGUCCUGAAUACAAAGUAAAGAAUGUUCUUUCGGUGACUAAUAAAAUAGUUUCUGGUUUAUCUGUGGAUACUUACGAUGUGAAACUGAUUAAUAAAGGCACUGUCAAGCAGUGCGAAGUCAAAAUCAGGACUCGACCAUUGAAACCGGGAAGCAUCAUAAGCAUUAGGAUCGUGUGUAAUAGAAAACUUGAAUAUGAAGCGAAAUACUGAUCUUCAUUUGAACUACACCAAUAUA